AGUUCGAUCAUGGCUCAGAUUGAACGCUGGCGGAUGCUUUACACAUGCAAGUCGAACGGCAGCAAUGACUUCGGUCUGGGUGGCGAGUGGCGAACGGGUGAGUAAUGUAUCGGAACGUGCCUAGUGGGGAUAACUACGCGAAAGCGCUAAUACCGCAAGCCCUUCGGGGGAAAGCGGGGGACUCCUGGGCCUCGCACUAUUAGAGCGGCCGAUAUCGGAUUAGCUAGUUGGUGGGGUAACGGCUCACCAAGGCGACGAUCCGUAGCUGGUUUGAGAGGAUGACCAGCCACACUGGGAUUGAGACACGGCCCAGACUCCUACGGGAGGCAGCAGUGGGGAAUUUUGGACAAUGGGGAAACCCUGAUCCAGCCAUCCCGCGUGCGAUGAAGGCCUGGCUAAAGACUUUUGCAGGAAGAAACGGCACGGGAUAAUACCCCGUGCAACUGACGGUAACGCAGAAUAAGCACCGGCUAACUACGUGCCAGCAGCCGCGGUAAUGGGCGUAGGUGCAAGCGUUAAUCGUUCACGGCGGCGCGCGCGCAGGCGGUUCGGAAAGAAAGAUGUGAAAUCCCAGAGCUUAACUUUGGAACUGCAUUUUUAACUACCGAGCUAGAGUGUGUCAGAGGGAGGUGGAAUUCCGCGUGUAGCAGUGAAAUGCGUAGAUAUGCGGAGGGAACACCGAUGGCGAAGGCAGCCUCUGGGAUAACACUGAUGCUCGCACGAAAGCGGGAGAGCAAACGGGAUUAGAUAUUCUUGGUAGUCCACGCCCUAAACGAUGUCAACCGCUGUUGGGGCCUUCGGGCUCCGGUAGCGCAGCUAACGUGUGAAGUUGACCGCCUGGGGAGUACGGUCGCAAGAUUAAAACUCAAAGGAAUUGACGGGGACCUGCACAAGCGGUGGAUGAUGUGGAUUAAUUGAUGCAACGCGAAAACCUUACCUACCCUCGCGGAUAUGUCUGGAAUCCCGAAGAGAUUUGGAGUGCUCGCAAGAGAACCGGAACACAGGGUGCUGCAUGGCUGUCGUCAGCUCGUGUCGAGAUGUUGGGUUAAGUCUCGCAACGAAAGCGCAACUCCCUUGUCAUUAGUUGCUACGAAAGGGCACUUCAUCGAGACUGCCGCGACAAACCGGAGGAAGGUGGGGAUGACGUCAAGUCCUCAUGGCCCUGCGCGGGUAGGGCUUCACACGUCAUACAAUGGUCGGGACAGAGGGUCGCCAACCCGAGGGGGAGCCAAUCCCAGGAAACCCGAUCGUAGUCCGGAUCGCAGUCUGCAACUCGACUGCGUGAAGCGUCGGAAUCGCUAGUAAUCGCGGAUCAGGCAUGUCGCGGUGAAUACGUUCCCGGGUCUUGUACACACCGCCCGUCACACCUAUGGGGAGUGGGUUUUACCAGAAGUAUAGCCUAACUGUAAGGAGGGCGAUUACCACGGUAGGAUUCCGCGAUCGGGGGUAGUCGUAACAAGGUAACCCUCAGCAGACGUCCUAGAUGCCUCCCAGGUGGAGCACGGCUGCAACUGGA
This 1516-nucleotide ribosomal RNA is filed under the name uncultured Bordetella sp. Its description in RNAcentral is "partial 16S-23S ribosomal RNA intergenic spacer". It matches the Rfam family "Bacterial small subunit ribosomal RNA". The record is from RNAcentral. Lineage: Bacteria; Pseudomonadati; Pseudomonadota; Betaproteobacteria; Burkholderiales; Alcaligenaceae.